AUUGAACGCUGGCGGCAUGCUUUACACAUGCAAGUCGAACGGUAACAGGCCGCAAGGUGCUGACGAGUGGCGAACGGGUGAGUAAUGCAUCGGAACGUGCCCAGUCGUGGGGGAUAACUACUCGAAAGAGUAGCUAAUACCGCAUACGAUCUAUGGAUGAAAGCGGGGGACCGUAAGGCCUCGCGCGAUUGGAGCGGCCGAUGUCAGAUUAGGUAGUUGGUGGGGUAAAGGCUCACCAAGCCAACGAUCUGUAGCUGGGCGGAGAGGACGACCCGCCACACUGGGACUGAGACACGGCCCAGACUCCUACGGGAGGCAGCAGUGGGGAAUUUUGGACAAUGGGCGCAAGCCUGAUCCAGCAAUGCCGCGUGCAGGAAGAAGGCCUUCGGGUUGUAAACUGCUUUUGUACGGAACGAAACGGCUCUGGUUAAUACCCGGGGCUAAUGACGGUACCGUAAGAAUAAGCACCGGCUAACUACGUG
RNAcentral lists this ribosomal RNA (482 nucleotides) under uncultured bacterium. RNAcentral describes it as "partial 16S ribosomal RNA". It matches the Rfam family "Bacterial small subunit ribosomal RNA", at positions 30 to 507 of the family's 1533-position model. The record is from RNAcentral.